RNAcentral lists this RNase P RNA (342 nucleotides) under Neisseria sp. RNAcentral describes it as "RNase P RNA component class A". It matches the Rfam family "Bacterial RNase P class A". Rfam says of the family: Ribonuclease P (RNase P) is a ubiquitous endoribonuclease, found in archaea, bacteria and eukarya as well as chloroplasts and mitochondria. Its best characterised activity is the generation of mature 5'-ends of tRNAs by cleaving the 5'-leader elements of precursor-tRNAs. Lineage: Bacteria; Pseudomonadati; Pseudomonadota; Betaproteobacteria; Neisseriales; Neisseriaceae. The record is from RNAcentral.
CAAGUGGGUCAGACAGUCGCCGCGUGUCUUUGGGCACGGGGAGGAAAGUCCGGGCUCCGCAGGGCGCAAUGCCGGCUAACGGCCGGGCACCGCGAGGUGACGGAAAGUGGCACAGAAAAGAUACCGCCUGCCAUGCAGGUAAGGGUGAAAUGGUGCGGUAAGAGCGCACCGCGUCUUCGGUAACGGAGGCGGCAGGCCAAACCCCAUUGGGAGCAAGACCAAACAGAACGUUAUGAUGCGGCCCGCAUCGCGUUCGGGUAGGUUGCUGGAGCGCGUCGGUAACGGCGCGUCUAGAUGAAUGACUGUCCGCGACAGAACCCGGCUUACCGACCGACUUGCGGU